RNAcentral lists this ribosomal RNA (439 nucleotides) under uncultured bacterium. RNAcentral describes it as "bacterial SSU rRNA". It matches the Rfam family "Bacterial small subunit ribosomal RNA", at positions 958 to 1397 of the family's 1533-position model. The record is from RNAcentral.
AACGCGAAGAACCUUACCCAGGCUUGACAUGCAGAGGAAGCUGCCAGAGAUGGCAGCGCCCUUCGGGGCCUUUGCACAGGUGCUGCAUGGCUGUCGUCAGCUCGUGCCGUGAGGUGUUGGGUUAAGUCCCGCAACGAGCGCAACCCUUAUCGUUAGUUGCCAACAGGUGAAGCUGGGAACUCUAGCGAGACUGCCUGGGUUAACCAGGAGGAAGGUGAGGAUGACGUCAAGUCCGCAUGGCCCUUAUGUCUGGGGCUACACACGUGCUACAAUGGCCGGUACAGAAGGCAGCGAAGCCGCGAGGCGAAGCAAAUCCCAAAAGCCGGCCCCAGUUCAGAUUGCAGUCUGCAACUCGACUGCAUGAAGACGGAAUUGCUAGUAAUGGCGAGUCAGCAACAUCGCCGUGAAUACGUUCCCGGGCCUUGUACACACCGGCUAC